GACGAACGCUGGCGGCGUGCUUAACACAUGCAAGUCGAGCGGUAAGGCCCUUUCGGGGGUACGACGAGCGGCGAACGGGUGAGUAACACGUGGGUGACCUCGCCCUCCAGCUCUGGGAUAAGCCUGGGAAACCGGGUCUAAUACUGGAUAUGACUCCAUGACGCAUGUUGUGGGGUGGAAAGCCUUGUGCGGCUGAGGAUGGGCCCGCGGCCUAUCAGCUUGUUGGUGGGGUGANGGCCUACCAAGGCGACGACGGGUAGCCGGCCUGAGAGGGCGACCGGCCACACUGGGACUGAGACACGGGCCCAGACUCCUACGGGAGGCAGCAGUGGGGAAUCUUGCGCAAUGGGCGAAAGCCUGACGCAGCGACGCCGCGUGAGGAUGACGGCCUGUGU
This 395-nucleotide ribosomal RNA is filed under the name uncultured bacterium. RNAcentral's name for it is "bacterial SSU rRNA". It matches the Rfam family "Bacterial small subunit ribosomal RNA", at positions 28 to 421 of the family's 1533-position model. The record is from RNAcentral.